Molecule: ribosomal RNA, 484 nt
Filed under: uncultured bacterium
Lineage: Bacteria
Description: partial 16S ribosomal RNA
Rfam family: Bacterial small subunit ribosomal RNA
Source: RNAcentral
AUUGAACGCUGGCGGCAUGCUUUACACAUGCAAGUCGAACGGCAGCGCGGGCUUCGGCCUGGCGGCGAGUGGCGAACGGGUGAGUAAUGCAUCGGAACGUGCCCAGUAGUGGGGGAUAGCCCGGCGAAAGCCGGAUUAAUACCGCAUACGACCUGAGGGUGAAAGCGGGGGACCGAAAGGCCUCGCGCUAUUGGAGCGGCCGAUGUCGGAUUAGCUAGUUGGUGGGGUAAAGGCUUACCAAGGCGACGAUCCGUAGCUGGUCUGAGAGGACGACCAGCCACACUGGGACUGAGACACAGCCCAGACUCCUACGAGAGGCAGCAGUGGGGAAUUUUGGACAAUGGGGGCAACCCUGAUCCAGCCAUGCCGCGUGCGGGAAGAAGGCCUUCGGGUUGUAAACCGCUUUUGUUCGGGAAGAAAUCCUCUGGGCUAAUACCCCGGGGGGAUGACGGUACCGGAAGAAUAAGCACCGGCUAACUACGUG